Molecule: ribosomal RNA, 95 nt
Filed under: Periophthalmus magnuspinnatus
Lineage: Eukaryota; Metazoa; Chordata; Actinopteri; Gobiiformes; Gobiidae
Source: RNAcentral
UGUGAUAAAAAGCUACUCUAGAUCUCUUAAGCUAAGCAGGGUUAGACCUGGUCAGUAGUUGGAUGGGAGACCACUGGGAAUACCAGGGGCCACAA